Molecule: ribosomal RNA, 1017 nt
Filed under: uncultured bacterium
Lineage: Bacteria
Description: bacterial SSU rRNA
Rfam family: Bacterial small subunit ribosomal RNA
Source: RNAcentral
UGAGGAAUAUUGGUCAAUGGGCGAGAGCCUGAACCAGCCAAGUAGCGUGAAGGAUGACUGCCCUAUGAGUUGUAAACUUCUUUUAUAAAGGAAUAAAGUCGGGUAUGUAUACCCGUUUGCAUGUACUUUAUGAAUAAGGAUCGGCUAACUCCGUGCCAGCAGCCGCGGUAAUACGGAGGAUCCGAGCGUUAUCCGGAUUUAUUGGGUUUAAAGGGAGCGUAGAUGGAUGUUUAAGUCAGUUGUGAAAGUUUGCGGCUCAACCGUAAAAUUGCAGUUGAUACUGGAUAUCUUGAGUGCAGUUGAGGCAGGCGGAAUUCGUGGUGUAGCGGUGAAAUGCUUAGAUAUCACGAAGAACUCCGAUUGCGAAGGCAGCCUGCUAAGCUGCAACUGACAUUGAGGCUCGAAAGUGUGGGUAUCAAACAGGAUUAGAUACCCUGGUAGUCCACACGGUAAACGAUGAAUACUCGCUGUUUGCGAUAUACGGCAAGCGGCCAAGCGAAAGCGUUAAGUAUUCCACCUGGGGAGUACGCCGGCAACGGUGAAACUCAAAGGAAUUGACGGGGGCCCGCACAAGCGGAGGAACAUGUGGUUUAAUUCGAUGAUACGCGAGGAACCUUACCCGGGCUUAAAUUGCAGAUGAAUUACGGUGAAAGCCGUAAGCCGCAAGGCAUCUGUGAAGGUGCUGCAUGGUUGUCGUCAGCUCGUGCCGUGAGGUGUCGGCUUAAGUGCCAUAACGAGCGCAACCCUUGUUGUCAGUUACUAACAGGUCAUGCUGAGGACUCUGACAAGACUGCCAUCGUAAGAUGUGAGGAAGGUGGGGAUGACGUCAAAUCAGCACGGCCCUUACGUCCGGGGCUACACACGUGUUACAAUGGGGGGUACAGAGGGCCGCUACCACGCGAGUGGAUGCCAAUCCCAAAAACCUCUCUCAGUUCGGACUGGAGUCUGCAACCCGACUCCACGAAGCUGGAUUCGCUAGUAAUCGCGCAUCAGCCACGGCGCGGUGAAUACGUUCCC